RNAcentral lists this ribosomal RNA (428 nucleotides) under uncultured Orbus sp. Its description in RNAcentral is "bacterial SSU rRNA". It matches the Rfam family "Bacterial small subunit ribosomal RNA", at positions 355 to 774 of the family's 1533-position model. The record is from RNAcentral. Lineage: Bacteria; Pseudomonadati; Pseudomonadota; Gammaproteobacteria; Orbales; Orbaceae.
UGGGGAAUAUUGCACAAUGGGGGAAACCCUGAUGCAGCCAUGCCGCGUGUAUGAAGAAGGCCUUAGGGUUGUAAAGUACUUUCGGUGAUGAGGAAGGUACUUGGUCUAAUAGGCCAAGUAAUUGACGUUAAUUACAGAAGAAGCACCGGCUAACUCCGUGCCAGCAGCCGCGGUAAUACGGAGGGUGCGAGCGUUAAUCGGAAUGACUGGGCGUAAGGGCAGUGUAGCGGAGUGAUUAAGUUAGGUGUGAAAUCCCCGAGCUCAACUUGGGAAUUGCAUUUAAAACUGGUCGUCUAGAGUAUUGUAGAGGAAGGUAGAAUUCCACGUGUAGCGGUGAAAUGCGUUAGAGAUGUGGAGGAAUACCGGUGGCGAAGGCGGCCUUCUGGACAGAUACUGACGCUGAGAUGCGAAAGCGUGGGGAGCAAACA